This 76-nucleotide transfer RNA is filed under the name Deltaproteobacteria bacterium. RNAcentral describes it as "tRNA-Ala". It matches the Rfam family "tRNA". From Rfam's summary of the family: Transfer RNA (tRNA) molecules are approximately 80 nucleotides in length. Their secondary structure includes four short double-helical elements and three loops (D, anti-codon, and T loops). Further hydrogen bonds mediate the characteristic L-shaped molecular structure. tRNAs have two regions of fundamental functional importance: the anti-codon, which is responsible for specific mRNA codon recognition, and the 3' end, to which the tRNAs corresponding amino acid is attached (by aminoacyl-tRNA synthetases). tRNAs cope with the degeneracy of the genetic code in two manners: having more than one tRNA (with a specific anti-codon) for a particular amino acid; and 'wobble' base-pairing, i.e. permitting non-standard base-pairing at the 3rd anti-codon position. The record is from RNAcentral. Lineage: Bacteria; Pseudomonadati; Myxococcota; Myxococcia. RNAcentral also lists the same sequence under 1 other name.
GGGCCUGUAGCUCAGCUGGGAGAGCGCCUGACUGGCAGUCAGGAGGUCGACGGUUCGAUCCCGUUCAGGUCCACCA